RNAcentral lists this ribosomal RNA (454 nucleotides) under uncultured bacterium. Its description in RNAcentral is "partial 16S ribosomal RNA". It matches the Rfam family "Bacterial small subunit ribosomal RNA", at positions 28 to 507 of the family's 1533-position model. The record is from RNAcentral.
GAUGAACGCUGACAGAAUGCUUAACACAUGCAAGUCAACUUGAACUUCGGUUUGGGUGGCGGACGGGUGAGUCACGCGUAAAGAACUUGCCUCACAGCUAGGGACAACAUUUGGAAACGAAUGCUAAUACCUGAUAUUAUGAUUAUAUGGCAUCGUAUAAUUAUGAAAGCUAUAUGCGCUGUGAGAGAGCUUUGCGUCCCAUUAGCUAGUUGGAGAGGUAACAGCUCACCAAGGCGAUGAUGGGUAGCCGGCCUGAGAGGGUGAUCGGCCACAAGGGGACUGGGACACGGCCCUUACGCCAACGGGAGGCAGCAGUGGGGAAUAUUGGACAAUGGACCGAGAGUCUGAUCCAGCAAUUCUGUGUGCACGAUGAAGUUUUUCGGAAUGUAAAGUGCUUUCAGUUGGGAAGAAAAAAAUGACGGUACCAACAGAAGAAGCGACGGCUAAAUACGUG